CGGAGCGCCCGCGCACGCCGCGCAAGUCCGCGCGCUACUACGCCAGCGUCGCGCGAGCCAACUCGCUGGACGUGCCAGAGACUCAAGAUGUCAUGUUGAACGGAGCAUAUUCGUUUAUUUACCCCACUUGCACUCCAACGGUGGUCGUCGUGGUCGCAUGUUACCGCAUCUUUACCUUUUAAUAAAUUGUAUAGGUUGCAUUU
Non-coding RNA from Plutella xylostella (diamondback moth), 203 nucleotides. The record is from RefSeq and is a predicted model, not a curated record. Lineage: Eukaryota; Metazoa; Arthropoda; Insecta; Lepidoptera; Plutellidae.